This is a non-coding RNA of Cricetulus griseus (Chinese hamster), 610 nucleotides long. The record is from RefSeq and is a predicted model, not a curated record. Lineage: Eukaryota; Metazoa; Chordata; Mammalia; Rodentia; Cricetidae.
AUUUCUCUGUUGUAGCCCCGGAUGAUCCAGAACUCUCUCUGUAGACCGGGCUGGCCUUGAACUCAGAGAUCUGCCUGCCUCUCUGCUUGGAUUAAAGGUGUGCACCACCACCACCUGGACCAAGAGGAUUCUCUUUGAUCUUGUGAACUACUGCCAAGGCAAGAAUUCCUGCCACCGAAGCAUGGAGUGACAUUCACCAUGACAGUGACGAGACUUGAACAAGCUGCAAAGCUCUUUUCAAACUAAUGAUAAACGCAUGUGUAAGCAGGAGGCUGGAAGGGCUGCAUGGCAAGAGUUCUUCAGAACUUGAAAGGUCUUCCAGCACAGCCUUCAUUGCCAGCUACCAUGUGGUGUGUGAAUGGAAAGCUCCCUUGAGAUGCCUGUGACAGGAGGCUGCCCAUACACGCUCUCAUGAGCACCCUGCGAGUGACCACAGUCCCCAAACGUGGACUGUGGUGAUUUGAAUACAGAGGCUCACAUAUUUGAAUGCUUGGUCAUCAAGUUGUGACACUACUCCUGAAGGAUUCGGAAGUGUAGCCUUAUUGGAGUAGGGCCUGCGGGACAAGGCAGAACAGAAACCUCCUGUCUACAAUCUCUUCCUGCUGCCUGC